GACGAACGCUGGCGGCGUGCUUAACACAUGCAAGUCGAACGGAAAGGCCCUGCUUGCAGGGUCCUCGAGUGGCGAACGGGUGAGUAACACGUGGGUGAUCUGCCCUGCACUUCGGGAUAAGCCUGAGAAACUGGGUCUAAUACCGGAUAUGACCUUCCAUGUAGUGUGGGGGGUGGAAAGAUUUAUCGGUGUGGGAUGAGCCCGCGGCCUAUCAGCUUGUUGGUGGGGUAAUGGCCUACCAAGGCGUCGACGGGUAGCCGGCCUGAGAGGGUGGACGGCCACAUUGGGACUGAGAUACGGCCCAGACUCCUACGGGAGGCAGCAGUGGGGAAUAUUGCACAAUGGGCGGAAGCCUUAUGCAGCGACGCCGCGUGGGGGAUGACGGCCUUCGGGUUGUAAACCUCUUUCGACAGGGACGAAGCUUCGGUGACGGUACCUGUAUAAGAAGCACCGGCUAACUACGUG
This 465-nucleotide ribosomal RNA is filed under the name uncultured bacterium. RNAcentral's name for it is "partial 16S ribosomal RNA". It matches the Rfam family "Bacterial small subunit ribosomal RNA", at positions 28 to 507 of the family's 1533-position model. The record is from RNAcentral.